CCUACGGGAGGCAGCAGUGGGGGAUAUUGCACAAUGGGGGGAACCCUGAUGCAGCGACGCCGCGUGGGUGAAGAAGCGCCUCGGCGCGUAAAGCCCUGUCAGCAGGGAAGAAAAUGACGGUACCUGAAGAAAAAGCCCCGGCUAACUACGUGCCAGCAGCCGCGGUAAUACGUCGGGGGCCAGCGUUAUUAGGCUUUACGGGGUGUAAAGGGGGCGUAGUCGGCGAUGCAAGGCAGGAGUGAAAGCCCGGGGGCCAACCCCGGGACUGCCCUUGGAACUGCGUGGCUGGAGUGCAGGAGGGGCAGGCGGAAUUCCUGGUGUAGCGGUGAAAUGCGUAGAUAUCAGGAGGAACACCGGUGGCGAAGGCAGCCUUCUGGACUGCAACUGACGUUGAGGCCCGAAAGUGUGGGGAGCAAACAGGAUUAGAUACCCGAGUAGUC
This 440-nucleotide ribosomal RNA is filed under the name uncultured bacterium. RNAcentral describes it as "partial 16S ribosomal RNA". It matches the Rfam family "Bacterial small subunit ribosomal RNA", at positions 338 to 795 of the family's 1533-position model. The record is from RNAcentral.